Molecule: ribosomal RNA, 112 nt
Filed under: Brucella anthropi
Lineage: Bacteria; Pseudomonadati; Pseudomonadota; Alphaproteobacteria; Hyphomicrobiales; Brucellaceae
Also listed under: 5 other names
Source: RNAcentral
GGUGGUUAUGGCGGAGCGGCUGCACCCGAUCCCAUUCCGAACUCGGCCGUGAAACGCUCCAGCGCCAAUGGUACUUUGUCUUAAGACACGGGAGAGUAGGUCGCUGCCAGGU